GAUCAUGGCUCAGGAUGAACGCUGGCGGCGUGCCUAACACAUGCAAGUCGAACGGAGUAAUUAAGCGGAAGUUUCGGAUGGAAGCAUAGUACUUAGUGGCGGACGGGUGAGUAACGCGUGGGCAACCUGCCCUGUACCGGGGGAUAACACUUAGAAAUAGGUGCUAAUACCGCAUAAGCGCACAGCUUCGCAUGAAGGUGUGUGAAAAACUCCGGUGGUACAGGAUGGACCCGCGUCUGAUUAGCUAGUUGGUGGGGUAGAGGCCUACCAAGGCGACGAUCAGUAGCCGGCCUGAGAGGGUGACCGGCCACAUUGGGACUGAGACACGGCCCAAACUCCUACGGGAGGCAGCAGUGGGGAACAUUGCACAAUGGGGGAAACCCUGAUGCAAGCGACGCCGCGUGAGUGAAGAAGUAUUUCGGUAUGUAAAGCUCUAUCAGCAGGGAAGAAAAUGACGGUACCUGACUAAGAAGCCCCGGCUAACUACGUGCCAGCAGCGGC
RNAcentral lists this ribosomal RNA (501 nucleotides) under uncultured bacterium. RNAcentral's name for it is "bacterial SSU rRNA". It matches the Rfam family "Bacterial small subunit ribosomal RNA", at positions 15 to 518 of the family's 1533-position model. The record is from RNAcentral.